Molecule: ribosomal RNA, 635 nt
Filed under: Cyanothece sp. EIO409
Lineage: Bacteria; Bacillati; Cyanobacteriota; Cyanophyceae; Gomontiellales; Cyanothecaceae
Description: bacterial SSU rRNA
Rfam family: Bacterial small subunit ribosomal RNA
Source: RNAcentral
GAGCUGCUCGGAUGGGGAACAGUGGGAACCACUGCUAAUACCCAAUAUGCCGAAAGGUGAAAAUUAUUUUGCCUGAAGAGGAGCUCGCGUCUGAUUAGCUAGUUGGUGGGGUAAAAGCUUACCAAGGCAACGAUCAGUAGCUGGUCUGAGAGGAUGAGCAGCCACACUGGGACUGAGACACGGCCCAGACUCCUACGGGAGGCAGCAGUGGGGAAUUUUCCGCAAUGGGCGAAAGCCUGACGGAGCAAUACCGCGUGAGGGAGGAAGGCCUUUGGGUUGUAAACCUCUUUUCUCAGGGAAGAAGUUCUGACGGUACCUGAGGAAUAAGCAUCGGCUAACUCCGUGCCAGCAGCCGCGGUAAUACGGAGGAUGCAAGCGUUAUCCGGAAUUAUUGGGCGUAAAGCGUCCGCAGGUGGUUUUUCAAGUCUGCUGUCAAAGACCGAAGCUCAACUUCGGAAAGGCAGUGGAAACUGGAAAACUAGAGUUCGGUAGGGGUAGCGGGAAUUCCCAGUGUAGCGGUGAAAUGCGUAGAUAUUGGGAAGAACAUCGGUGGCGAAGGCGCGCUACUGGACCGAAACUGACACUCAGGGACGAAAGCUAGGGGAGCGAAAGGGAUUAGAUACCCCCUGUAGUCA